AAAUUGAAGAGUUUGAUCAUGGCUCAGAUUGAACGCUGGCGGCAGGCCUAACACAUGCAAGUCGAACGGUAGCACAGAGAGCUUGCUCUCGGGUGACGAGUGGCGGACGGGUGAGUAAUGUCUGGGAAACUGCCUGAUGGAGGGGGAUAACUACUGGAAACGGUGGCUAAUACCGCAUAACGUCGAAAGACCAAAGAGGGGGACCUUCGGGCCUCUUGCCAUCAGAUGUGCCCAGAUGGGAUUAGCUAGUUGGUGAGGUAACGGC
This 265-nucleotide ribosomal RNA is filed under the name Salmonella enterica. Its description in RNAcentral is "partial 16S ribosomal RNA". It matches the Rfam family "Bacterial small subunit ribosomal RNA", at positions 1 to 264 of the family's 1533-position model. Lineage: Bacteria; Pseudomonadati; Pseudomonadota; Gammaproteobacteria; Enterobacterales; Enterobacteriaceae. The record is from RNAcentral.